Molecule: long non-coding RNA, 187 nt
Organism: Salvelinus sp. IW2-2015
Lineage: Eukaryota; Metazoa; Chordata; Actinopteri; Salmoniformes; Salmonidae
Source: RefSeq, a predicted model, not a curated record
AUAAAAUGUAUGUGCAAAGAGCACAUCGAAUCAUCAAAGAGCAGAGUGAGGCAGUGUCGCGGAGCUUGGACAUCAAGGACUAUGACUACCCAGGGUUUGAUGUAGUCGAGGACACUGACAUCCCAGGACAUCCUGAUGCCUUACAGCAUUUGGACAGCGUCUCAGAGGCCCAAGGCUUUAAUGUACG